This 298-nucleotide signal recognition particle RNA is filed under the name Phascolarctos cinereus (koala). Its description in RNAcentral is "Metazoan signal recognition particle RNA (ENSPCIG00000014825.2)". It matches the Rfam family "Metazoan signal recognition particle RNA". From Rfam's summary of the family: The signal recognition particle (SRP) is a universally conserved ribonucleoprotein. It is involved in the co-translational targeting of proteins to membranes. The eukaryotic SRP consists of a 300-nucleotide 7S RNA and six proteins: SRPs 72, 68, 54, 19, 14, and 9. The record is from RNAcentral. Lineage: Eukaryota; Metazoa; Chordata; Mammalia; Diprotodontia; Phascolarctidae.
CUUGGGAGUGCAUUCCUAUAAUCUCUUCUACUGGGGAGCCUGAGGCUGGUGGAUCUCUUCAACUCAGGAGUUUUAGCUUCAGUGGGCUAAGCUAAGUGGGUGUCAGCACUAAGUCUGACAUAAAUGGGGUGAGCCCCCAGGAGUGGCAGGGAGAAAACCACCAUCCUGCUUAAGGAGUGGUGAACUGGCCCUGGCCAGGAAAUAUGGAGCAGGUCAAAACUUACAUGCUGAUCAGUAGUGGGAUGGAACCAGUGAGUGGCCAUUUCUAGCCUGGAUGAAGUAGGGAGACCCAGUCUCC